Molecule: ribosomal RNA, 236 nt
Filed under: Oxyartes cf. lamellatus
Lineage: Eukaryota; Metazoa; Arthropoda; Insecta; Phasmatodea; Lonchodidae
Description: partial 12S ribosomal RNA
Source: RNAcentral
UAAACUAGGAUUAGAUACCCUAUUAUCGUAUAUGUUAAUUUUUACUAGGGUAAUAAUAGUUAUGUUCUUUAAACCUAAAGAAUUUGGCGGUGUUUUAAUCUAUUUAGAGGAAUUUGUGCCUUUAUCGAUAAUCCUCGUUUUAUCUUACUUUAUUUUGUUUAUCAGUAUGUAUACCGCCGUUAUAAGUUUAUUUUAUUAGAAUUAAUAAUUUACUUUAUUUUUAAAUAAGAAUUAUU